This 883-nucleotide ribosomal RNA is filed under the name uncultured bacterium. RNAcentral's name for it is "bacterial SSU rRNA". It matches the Rfam family "Bacterial small subunit ribosomal RNA", at positions 1 to 889 of the family's 1533-position model. The record is from RNAcentral.
GGAUCCCCUUUUUGAUUAUGGCUCAGGAUAAACGCUGGCGGCGCACAUAAGACAUGCAAGUCGAACGAACUUAAUUCAAAAGUUUACUUUUGAAAGCGGUUAGUGGCGGACUGGUGAGUAACGCGUAAGCAAUCUGCCUAUCAGAGGGGAAUAACAGUGAGAAAUCACUGCUAAUACCGCAUAAGCUGUGAGGAGCACAUGCUCUAAAUAGAAAAGGAGUAAUCCGCUGAUAGAUGAGCUUGCGUCUGAUUAGUUAGUUGGUGAGGUAACGGCCCACCAAGACGAUGAUCAGUAGCCGGACUGAGAGGUUGAACGGCCACAUUGGGACUGAGAUACGGCCCAGACUCCUACGGGAGGCAGCAGUCGGGAAUAUUGCGCAAUGGAGGAAACUCUGACGCAGUGACGCCGCGUGCAGGAAGAAGGUUUUCGGAUUGUAAACUGCUUUAGACAGGGACGAAAUAAAUGACGGUACCUGUAGAAUAAGCUCCGGCUAACUACGUGCCAGCAGCCGCGGUAAUACGUAGGGAGCAAGCGUUAUCCGGAUUUAUUGGGUGUAAAGGGUGCGUAGACGGAAAGACAAGUUAGUUGUGAAAUACCUCGGCUUAACUGAGGAACUGCAACUAAAACUAUCUAUCUUGAGUACUGGAGGGGAAAGCGGAAUUCCUAGUGUAGCGGUGAAAUGCGUAGAUAUUAGGAAGAACACCGGUGGCGAAGGCGGCUUUCUGGACAGUAACUGACGUUGAGGCACGAAAGUGUGGGGAGCAAACAGGAUUAGAUACCCUGGUAGUCCACACCGUAAACGAUGGAUACUAGGUGUAGGUGUUGAUAAGUCAUCUGUGCCGUCGCAAAAGCAGUAAGUAUCCCACCUGGUGAGUACGGCCCC